UUAAUUUGAGGAUCAUGAAACAUCAACAUGUGACACUAAUUUCUCUCUGCGUAACUUCAGGCUGCAACGUUAAAUUUAGCACUCCAAAACGAUACGCUUAUUAGUGAAGAGAUGCUGCAGGCCUCCAGAAAAACAAGGGAUGGGGACACGACAGAUGAGGAUGCUGUAGAGGAGAGAGGAAACAUUGAGCUAUAGGGCUUCUCCUAAGUGUGUGUGUGAGUGUGUGUGAGACCAUCGUUCGCCUCAGAGUCUAACACUCUGCUCUGUCGUGUCUGCAGCUCUGAUCAGAGGAAACUUGUCACUACUUUGUCACUUCCACCGUGUGUCAUAACCCGAACCACCAGGUACGCCACAGGGACACACACACACACACACACACACACACACACACAUGCGUCAUCACUUUACAUUUCCACCACACGCUUACAUUUCCUGGCCCUCUCUGCAUCUUCACAUCCUUUAAUUUUACACGACACGCAGCUUCCCCAGAGUUAUCGAAUGAAUCAGAGGGAGGAGAGGAGGGCGGGGUGUCAAGUGGAAUUUGGUCACGCUGACUCCGGAUUAGACGACUAGUUGAAUUUUUCCAAGGCUAAACAGACCCCGGGCUUUCCUUUUUAAAACCAUCUCUGAAUUCCAAUACCCGGAAAGUGUGUGAGUGCACUGUGGGAUUAAAGCAAGGAGAGUUCAACCUGCAGAACAGCACAGCAAUCAAACACAGCCUUGGUCUGAUGGCUGAAACUCUGAAGCACUUCUGUAGCAUGUUUCCUACUGCAUGAUGCUAAAAUGACACUUCUUCACAUUGCAUGCAUCCAGGGCUUAGUGCUCAUUGUAGCAACAGUUGCACAAAGAGAGAGUAAAAUGUCUGUUUCUCUUUGUGCCAGCUCGGUUCAUUGUGCAUCGCUCUCUGUCGUGUUGUUGUAAACUGUUGUGAUUCAGCAUACAGCGGAGAGAUUGAACAGUUUCAAUGAGUGUGUUUACGUGGACGUGUGUAUCCUGGUUUGAUUGUGUUUCAUGAGCACUCUGUUUUUGUGUUUGUGCAUGUAAACAACAAAUCCCUGUUGUUUGGAGAAACCUGGAAAACAAGAAGAAGAGGAAAACAGGAUACAGCCGUGAGCAUACACCUUAACCAGGAUGAUGAGGUGCGCCUGGGAUAACAAAGGACGGGAUGAACAAAUCACAUCAAAUGGAACCAAGACUGAGAAGCUCUGCAGGUUUAGGAGGCCGGGCAUCUGAAGCUAAAGCCAUGGUCGAGGUUAAGGUCAAGGUGGUUCUUGAGCCUGGCGGGAUUGUUCAGGGGUUUUUACCCUUUUCUAUCCAUGGAUGGAUCCUAGCCUUCGUGGAAGGAGGUGGAGGGAUCAAAGGACUCAAGAGGUUACAGGACACCGUGGACCAAGGCACCUGAAUAAAUACAUUAAAGAAAUAAAGGAACCAAGGAAAAUAAAAUCUCGUCAUAAUUUGGUGCUUAAAAAUGAAGACAGCAGAUGUGCAAAAAGCUGCAGUUCCUCGAGUUUCCACUGGAUGCGGGUUCAGAGCAAGCAAAAUAAAACAAGCCAAAGGUUCGUUAGAGUUCGCAUUUCCAAGAUGGUGGCCGCCAUCUUUGGGCCUCCUCAGAGACCAAGUGGGCCAUGACUGAGAAUCUUUGUUGCAAGAAAAGGUCUCAGCCUUUGUCAUCCCCCCUGACCUCAGGUGAGGCUCCUCAGAUCCGUAUCCGAUCCGUCUUCGAUCCACUGCAGGACCGUUGGAGAGCUGGAGUCAUGUGACCGAGGUUUUCCCGGUGUAAUCCCUGAAUCAAGAAUCCUCCUCCU
Molecule: long non-coding RNA, 1805 nt
Organism: Notolabrus celidotus (New Zealand spotty)
Lineage: Eukaryota; Metazoa; Chordata; Actinopteri; Labriformes; Labridae
Exons: 3
Source: RefSeq, a predicted model, not a curated record